This 243-nucleotide non-coding RNA is filed under the name Limosilactobacillus fermentum. Lineage: Bacteria; Bacillati; Bacillota; Bacilli; Lactobacillales; Lactobacillaceae. The record is from RNAcentral.
GAAAAUGCUGUGAAUGGAUGAGUAGUUUUUCAGGAUGUCAAGAAGCGAGCCGGAGGUGGUGAAAGCCGGUGACAGUACAAAAGAUGAAGAUGGUCCAGGAGUGUUUUGAUCGGUGAGCCCAUGGUAAAUUGAUCACGGUUAACGUCCGCUAUUGCGUUGCGCCCCCCCGGUUGGGGUGGCGCUUGAGGGUCCCAAUGGGGCUGAAAACGGGUGGUAACACGGCUCAAGUAGUGCGUCCCAGAA